Molecule: microRNA precursor, 97 nt
Filed under: Ovis aries (sheep)
Lineage: Eukaryota; Metazoa; Chordata; Mammalia; Artiodactyla; Bovidae
Description: miRNA (ENSOARG00000022283.1)
Source: RNAcentral
AUUGCCUGAGGAUCUUAUCAAAAUGUAGGUUAUGGUUCAGUAGGGUGGAAGUGGUGCCUGAGAUUCUGAAUUUCUAACAAGUUUGCAGGUGAUGUCA